UGAGGAAUAUUGGACAAUGGAUGGAAAUCUGAUCCAGCCAUGCCGCGUGCAGGAAGACGGCCCUAUGGGUUGUAAACUGCCUUUGUAUGGGAGCAAUAAGGACUACGUGUAGUUUGAUGAGAGCACCAUACGAAUAAGCAUCGGCUAACUCCGUGCCAGCAGCCGCGGUAAUACGGCGGAUGCGAGCGUUAUCCGGAUUUAUUGGGUUUAAAGGGUGCGUAGGCGGCGAUAUAAGUCAGUGGUGAAAUAUUUCGGCUUAACCGAGAGACUGCCAUUGAUACUUUGUUGCUAGAAUAUGGUUGCUGUGAGUGGAAUGUGUGUUGUAGCGGUGAAAUGCUUAGAUAUCACACAGAAUCUCCAUUACGAAGGCAGCUCACAAAGCCAUUAUUGACGCUGAGGCACGAAAGUGUGGGGAUCAAACA
This 422-nucleotide ribosomal RNA is filed under the name uncultured bacterium. RNAcentral describes it as "bacterial SSU rRNA". It matches the Rfam family "Bacterial small subunit ribosomal RNA", at positions 355 to 774 of the family's 1533-position model. The record is from RNAcentral.